RNAcentral lists this transfer RNA (76 nucleotides) under Gammaproteobacteria bacterium. RNAcentral describes it as "tRNA-Ala". It matches the Rfam family "tRNA". From Rfam's summary of the family: Transfer RNA (tRNA) molecules are approximately 80 nucleotides in length. Their secondary structure includes four short double-helical elements and three loops (D, anti-codon, and T loops). The record is from RNAcentral. RNAcentral also lists the same sequence under 3 other names. Lineage: Bacteria; Pseudomonadati; Pseudomonadota; Gammaproteobacteria.
GGGGCCGUAGCUCAGCUGGGAGAGCGCUGCGUUCGCAAUGCAGAGGUCGGCGGUUCGAUCCCGCUCGGCUCCACCA